Molecule: long non-coding RNA, 1982 nt
Filed under: Monodelphis domestica (gray short-tailed opossum)
Lineage: Eukaryota; Metazoa; Chordata; Mammalia; Didelphimorphia; Didelphidae
Description: lncRNA (ENSMODG00000038648.1)
Source: RNAcentral
AUACCCAAGACUUUUCUCUUUCCCCUGGAUACAAAUUACCAUGAACCAUCAAUUUCCAUAAGCAAAAACCAAUUCAUGAAUAACUAAUGGUUCAUGCAUUAAGAGUAGUGACUUACUGGAGUGGGAUAGAGAACCACUGGCCGAGGCAGGAAUGGGGGAGGAAGCUCCAUUCCUCUUUUGGAUAUCCAGCUUGACUGAGCAGCUUGCUUCCCCACAUCCCCCCCCCAAAAGACUCCUCAAGAACAACAACAUGGAGUUAAGGUCCCCCUGGGCAAUAUUGUGAAGGGGGUGACAUUUGUCACUGAUGUUUCCUCCCUUCCCAUCAUUGCCCUUUAACACUCAUCCCUUCCAGAAAGCUCUCUUCACAGAGUCCCCCCAGGCACCAAGUAACCUUGUGCCAUAUCCCCUCUUGUCAUAUCCAUUUUAGAUGACUUCAACUAUCAUUCUCUUUGACCUCCCUGCAGCUUUUGCUAGUAUUCACUGUUCCCCUUUUCCUGAAUUCUUUGUCUUCCCUUGAUUUCUGAAAGAUCACCUCUCUGAGCAUCCAUCUUUGUUUCUUUUACUAUUCAUCUUCUUGAUAUCUCAGAGUACUUCAAGGGUUUGGCCCCGGACCACCCCUCACCCCACCCCACCCCACCUCUCUCUGUCUCUCUCUCCAUUUUCUCCCUUGGUAACCUCAUCCACUUUUAUUAUUUCAGUCCUAUGUAGAUGACUUGCACAUUUAUUUCUCCAGUCAUGAACUUUGUAAGUUCCAAAACCAAUGCAGCUGACCACAGGAAAUAUUUCUAUGAAACUGUCUCACAGAAACCCCUAUGGGGCUUUGUCCAGAGGAAACAGACUAUAGGGAAAGUAAUCAAGAUGAAUCUAGGACACCUACAAGGACUGAAGAAGGUCCAGGUGUGAACAAAGCCAGACAGCCUCCUGGGAUGAAUCAAAGACAUUCCAAUUAGGUGUCCUCAGUGAAUUUGUUCACCUUGGUUGAGCAAUUUGCUUAUGAUCUAAGGAACUCACCAGAUAUAAAAGGAGAAGAGAGUUCAGAGCAGAGGGAGAUUUGGGGAAGGACUGGGAAUACCAAGGCCAAGCUAGAAAGACUCAAAUACAGAAAGAGAAAAAAGAAUUGAGCAAUAUCAGAGAAGGGAGGGAUCAAGGAAGACCACUGACCCUUCAGACAUCUCACAGCAGAAGACAUAAUCAGUUGUACCCACCUCUUCAAGGAUUGGGAGAAGUUCAAACAAAAGUCAUCUUUUCCCUGGACUAAUUCACCUUGUGCUAGUCUAUUAAUAGGCAAAUAACCUCUGCUGCUUCUUUAGCUAAAUAUUGCCAGUGACCUGAAUUUUGUUCAAUCACAAAGAGGAAGAGAGGGAAUAAGCAUUAAUAUAGCACCUACUUUAUGCCAGGUUUUAAUUCUUAUAAUAAUCCUAUUAGGGAGGAGCUGUUAUUACCAGUUUACAGUUGAGGAAACUGAGGUAAACAGGGAUUAAAUGACCUGCCCAAAGUCAUACAGAUAGUAAGUGUUUAAGGCUACAUUGGCACUCAGACUUCCUAAGUGGUCCCAGAAUCUAUCCAUUGUGUCACCCAAGAGUUAAGGGUUAGUUAGGGAUAAAUAUAAAUAUGAAUUAAGACAGAGAUCCAAACUCCUGCCUAAAUCAAAGGCAUUUUCUUAACUAGAGUGAUUGUAAUGAUAUUUUCAAAUUUUCAUUUAAUAUAACAUCCUUUAAAAAAGUAGAGGAGGGCACCAUAUAAACCCUGAGUGGCCUUUAUACAAGUUAAUUACCAUAAUAGUAUUGCAAUAACAAUAAUAGUCCUCUUGAAUCCUGGAGUCACUUGGAUCCAAUUUGGAGAUCUGAACAAGGCUGGUUUCCUAUAUAUACCAUGCCAUGGGCUCUCAUAUACUUGUAUAAGUUGAGAUUUGGGGUGCUUCUCAAAACUAUUGAUUUGCAUACACAAAUAAAACAUUUAAUUCAGAAAUUCUUACCCUUUGG